RNAcentral lists this ribosomal RNA (492 nucleotides) under uncultured bacterium. RNAcentral describes it as "partial 16S ribosomal RNA". It matches the Rfam family "Bacterial small subunit ribosomal RNA", at positions 29 to 507 of the family's 1533-position model. The record is from RNAcentral.
AGUGAACGCUGGCGGUAGGCCUAACACAUGCAAGUCGAACGGCAGCACAGUAAGAGCUUGCUCUUACGGGUGGCGAGUGGCGGACGGGUGAGGAAUACAUCGGAAUCUAUUUUUUCGUGGGGGAUAACGUAGGGAAACUUACGCUAAUACCGCAUACGACCUACGGGUGAAAGCAGGGGAUCUUCGGACCUUGCGCGACUGAAUGAGCCGAUGUCGGAUUAGCUAGUUGGCGGGGUAAAGGCCCACCAAGGCGACGAUCCGUAGCUGGUCUGAGAGGAUGAUCAGCCACACUGGAACUGAGACACGGUCCAGACUCCUACGGGAGGCAGCAGUGGGGAAUAUUGGACAAUGGGCGCAAGCCUGAUCCAGCCAUACCGCGUGGGUGAAGAAGGCCUUCGGGUUGUAAAGCCCUUUUGUUGGGAAAGAAAAGCAGCAGGUUAAUACCCCGCUGUUCUGACGGUACCCAAAGAAUAAGCACCGGCUAACUUCGUG